Molecule: long non-coding RNA, 1119 nt
Filed under: Oryctolagus cuniculus (rabbit)
Lineage: Eukaryota; Metazoa; Chordata; Mammalia; Lagomorpha; Leporidae
Description: lncRNA (ENSOCUG00000033888.1)
Source: RNAcentral
AUGCUGAUUUGGCGAGAUGAAAGUAUUUCACCAAAAUCACCAAUCCGCAGCUGCACUGACCAGGAAUAUACAGCAUUUGACACAACUGGACCAGAGUCCAAGAUGGUGCCUGGGUCCCCAGGUGUAGCCAUCACAGAUAACUCGUCUCCGCCCCUCCUCCCCAGCACUCAAAGCUCAUGGCUGAUCUUCCUGGUAAGUAGCCUCCCCCUUAUCACAAACUCAGGUGUGGUCAGAGGUGGGGGGGCAGGGCGAAGCUAAGGGAAAACAAAGCCACUCCCUCAGGAAUCCCAAAGGAUUCUGAAGAAGCUCCUUCCAGGAACCCAAGCCAGGCCGAUCUUGACCCUGAUCUUGACCAGCAACACUUCAGGCUGGUCUUUGAGCAGAGAGCUGGUCUGCGGAGGGCGUGGGUGGGCACGAGAGGUGGGAGGUGCCCUUACCGGCUGCAAUGCCACCGCCUGUGUCUACGCUUGCUCUGCAUUUUGCACAAAAGCCUUUCGUCCCACACAGCUCUCUUCCCUAGGGUAUCUGUGCUCCAAAUCCUGACAGCCAAAACGGGGUAGAGGAUGAGGAAUGGUUUCAAAGCCAUAAACUCCUGGGCGUGCAGGCUGCAAAGGGGGCAGUGAGCUCAUUUGAUUGACGGCCCCCCCUCACCGCACACCCACUCCCAGACAGUGCCUUGGCGCUCAGGUGCCCCCUGCCAGUCCCCCUUCACAACUCUGUGAAGAUGAAAGAACUUGCCCAAACUAUGAUCUGAACCCGUGUUCAAUUCUGUGAGUUGGAGCCGGUGCUGUGUCGUGGGGAGUACAACCACCGCCUGCAGUGCCGACAUCCCAUAUGGACGACAGUUGAGUCCCGGCUGCUCUGCUUCUGAUCCAGCUUUCUGCUAUGGCCUGGGAAAGCAGUGGAAGAUGGCCCAAGUCCUUGGGCCCCUGCACCCACGUGGGAGACCUAGAAGAAGCUCCUGGCUCCUGGCUUUCGAUCAUCGGCCCAGCUCUGGCCAUUGUGGCCAUUUGGGGAGUGAACUAGCGGAUGGAAGACUUCUGUCUCUUCUCUGCCUCUGCCUCUCUGUAACUCUGCCUUUCAAAUAAAUAAAAUAAAUCUUUAAAAAAAAUUUCUAUG